RNAcentral lists this ribosomal RNA (449 nucleotides) under uncultured bacterium. RNAcentral's name for it is "partial 16S ribosomal RNA". It matches the Rfam family "Bacterial small subunit ribosomal RNA", at positions 29 to 523 of the family's 1533-position model. The record is from RNAcentral.
AACGAACGCUGGCGGCAGGCCUAACACAUGCAAGUCGAACGCCCCCUUCGGGGGGAGUGGCGCACGGGUGAGUAACGCGUGGGAAUCUGCGCUUUGGUCUGGAAUAACCCUGGGAAACUAGGGCUAAAACCGGAUAAGCCCCGCGAGGGGGAAAGUUUACGCCGAAGGAGGAGCCCGCGUCCGAUUAGCUAGUUGGUGAGGUAAGAGCUUACCAAGGCGACGAUCGGUAGCUGGUCUGAGAGGACGAUCAGCCACACUGGGACUGAGACACGGCCCAGACUCCUACGGGAGGCAGCAGUGGGGAAUAUUGGACAAUGGGCGCAAGCCUGAUCCAGCCAUGCCGCGUGAGUGAUGAAGGCCUUCGGGUUGUAAAGCUCUUUUGGCGGGGACGAUGAUGACGGUACCCGCAGAAUAAGCCCCGGCAAACUUCGUGCCAGCCGCCGCAGUAA